UAAUCAUUAGUCUUUUAAUUGGGGACUGGUAUGAAUGGCUAAACGAGAGAUCAACUUUUUUUAUUACAAUUUUUCUAAUUUCAUUUUUUAGUGAAAAAGCUAAAAUAAUCUAGAAAGACGAGAAGACCCUAUAGAGUUUAUAUAUAUUUUAAUAAUGAAUUAAAUUGGGAUUUUACUAGUUUGUUAUGAACUUAUAAUUUGUUGGGGCGACGUUAAGAUAAAACUAACUCUUUUUUCUAAAAACUUGUAUGCAAGUAUUUAUUGACCCUCUAAAAGGGACCAUAAGAAAUAAUUACCUUAGGGAUAACAGCGUAAUCUUUUUUGAGAGUUCUAAUCGACAAAAAGGUUUGCGACCUCGAUGUUGGACUAAAAUUUAGACGUAGGUGCAGUAGCUUCGUUUUAGAGUCUGUUCGACUCAUAAUAUUUUACACGAUCUGAGUUCAGACCGGCGUGAGCCAGGUUG
RNAcentral lists this ribosomal RNA (463 nucleotides) under Rehderella belyaevi. RNAcentral describes it as "partial large subunit ribosomal RNA". It matches the Rfam family "Bacterial large subunit ribosomal RNA", at positions 1962 to 2633 of the family's 2925-position model. The record is from RNAcentral. Lineage: Eukaryota; Metazoa; Arthropoda; Thecostraca; Balanomorpha; Chthamalidae.